Molecule: microRNA, 23 nt
Filed under: Glossina pallidipes
Lineage: Eukaryota; Metazoa; Arthropoda; Insecta; Diptera; Glossinidae
Also listed under: 2 other names
Description: Gpa-Mir-2-P3b_5p* (star (passenger))
Source: RNAcentral
UUCUUCAAAGUGGCUGCGAAAUG